This 538-nucleotide ribosomal RNA is filed under the name Escherichia coli. Its description in RNAcentral is "partial 23S ribosomal RNA". It matches the Rfam family "Bacterial large subunit ribosomal RNA", at positions 419 to 958 of the family's 2925-position model. Lineage: Bacteria; Pseudomonadati; Pseudomonadota; Gammaproteobacteria; Enterobacterales; Enterobacteriaceae. The record is from RNAcentral.
GGGACACGUGGUAUCCUGUCUGAAUAUGGGGGGACCAUCCUCCAAGGCUAAAUACUCCUGACUGACCGAUAGUGAACCAGUACCGUGAGGGAAAGGCGAAAAGAACCCCGGCGAGGGGAGUGAAAAAGAACCUGAAACCGUGUACGUACAAGCAGUGGGAGCACGCUUAGGCGUGUGACUGCGUACCUUUUGUAUAAUGGGUCAGCGACUUAUAUUCUGUAGCAAGGUUAACCGAAUAGGGGAGCCGAAGGGAAACCGAGUCUUAACUGGGCGUUAAGUUGCAGGGUAUAGACCCGAAACCCGGUGAUCUAGCCAUGGGCAGGUUGAAGGUUGGGUAACACUAACUGGAGGACCGAACCGACUAAUGUUGAAAAAUUAGCGGAUGACUUGUGGCUGGGGGUGAAAGGCCAAUCAAACCGGGAGAUAGCUGGUUCUCCCCGAAAGCUAUUUAGGUAGCGCCUCGUGAAUUCAUCUCCGGGGGUAGAGCACUGUUUCGGCAAGGGGGUCAUCCCGACUUACCAACCCGAUGCAAACUGCG